UGCAAGGGCAUCAAUAAAGGGGAUUUUUCAUUUUGUAGAUGGGCGAGAUGGUCAUUUCAAGGGGGUCUAUAUGUGUCUGAGUGCAAGAGCGAUCGAAUCUUGAUCAUGUCCAGCAUGGGAUACAUGCAAUGAGUUGGGAGCACUAUGACACACAUCCCAAGGUGCUGCAGCCAUUGGGAUGCUCACUGCACCCCUCCCCUCCAAGAGAGGAUCUAGAUGCCACACAUUUAGGUGAUGUUCUUUUUCCCUUAUAUUAUUCGUUUUAUUAUGCAUGAUAUUAAUGGGUUGUCCUUAGGUUUUCAUAUAAAAGUGCUCACGACUAGAAAUAAAAUUGUGCAUGCAUUUGUGUAAUGUUCUUUUGUUGCCUCUUGUUGGAGAGUUUUCCAUUUGGGCUAAUUUCAAAGUUUUUUUGACUGAGAAUUGGAUUACCUUUCUUUAGUUGUUGCUUAAGGGGUUCCUGAAGGUAGGGAUGUUAUUCUUCCUUGAUGUGGUUGAUCUAGAGACAUUGUAAUGACUCAGGAUCUACAUUGAAACACGGGCAUCGAUUCAUCAGAAUACAUGGCACAAAAUGAUUAGAUGCAGAUUGCACAAUAUUUGCUAUAGGGAAAAGACCUAUCAUCUUAUACCCUAUUCCUUUCAAUACACAGUUCAAUCCAUUGAUACAUACACACAGUAGAAGGAAAUACGAGAGAUGUCUAGUAGUUUUUCAGUAUUUUACUCUAGACCUUCUUCCUAUAUUCUCAUGACAUGUAAAAGCCCUUUUACUCGGCUCCAUCCGUUUGGGGAUAAAUGUUUAAUUAGCUCGUUUAGGGUUCAUUUAGACUAAUUAAAGACCGAUAUUCGACCAACCAUAUAAAUGAAACUAUAUCUAGCCUAUCGAUCAAGAGUACUAAAGAUCGAUAUCUUAAAGUGAAAAGGACCGAUUAUGCCCGACCCGCCCGACUGAUUGACACCCAGGGAAGAACAUUCUCGGAUCAACCUCGCGAUUUCGGUGGGUCUAUAUGGUCAUAGACGAGAAAGGAGAAACUAGGGUUUUUCUAUCUAUAUAACGCAGCCCGCUUAAACUACUUACAGCGCCUAGUCACAAUUACGGUAGUUCUCUAUAGACGAGAAAUUAGGGUUUUUCUAUCUAUAUAACGGAGCCCGCCGAUGCCACUGCAGCUUCAAGAUCUUUCUGGUUUGCACUUCGGGUUAGGAUUAGGGUUAGGGUUAGGGUUAGGGUUCACCAUUGAUUUGAUCGGUAAGAAGCUUCGGCUUCACUUGUUCUACCAUGUCCAUCGCCAUUGUUAGCACUUCCUGUUCUUCUUUCUCUACACUCGUGGCUUUUCGAUUUCUUUUUCCGUUUUCUUUCGUUCAUGUUUCUAUCUGCACGGUGCACCCCGGGCUUCUCCGAAUCAUCGUUGACGAUGAAAGCCCCAUUGCGCGUGCUAAAGUGUGCCAUUCAGUGUUGCAGUUUAGCUUCGAUUUCUUCAACAGCUGUUCUGUGUCAAACAACAAUUUUGGAGGACGAUGGCUGAGAUUGCUGCAAGCCUGGAAGUAUGUAACAUCGACUACAUGGACGACUAGAGCUAACCCACUUGUGAAUUUUUAUUUGUAACAUCGCAUAUAUUAUGGAAGCAUAUUCAAGACAAAGAAUGUAAAUUUUUUGUUUUCUUUGGACAAAUGCUUAAAUGUAUAAUUUCAUUAAAGCUUGAGGUUGUAAGUUGAAUGCAUUUGUAAUCUAUAUUUUUAUUAAUAAAAUAAAAAAAUUGGUUUA
Molecule: long non-coding RNA, 1756 nt
Organism: Macadamia integrifolia
Lineage: Eukaryota; Viridiplantae; Streptophyta; Magnoliopsida; Proteales; Proteaceae
Exons: 2
Source: RefSeq, a predicted model, not a curated record